AUGCUGCAGUGCUUGUUUGUAAGUCCCACAUGGAUUGAUUGUAUGUUGGUCUACACUUUGAAUUUCUAUCCUUGGUCCUAUUAUUAGAGAGGAUUGCAGGAAUUGUGUCCAAUAUAAGUCUGGAUUGAAAAGGGUGGACGCCAAGGCUUCAAUUUAAUUAUUUUGGCUAAGCUUUUCAAAUAAACAAUCUGUUUGGUUUCAAAUUAUUUUAUUU
This is a non-coding RNA of Pelobates cultripes (western spadefoot toad), 214 nucleotides long. The record is from the annotation of a GenBank genome assembly. NCBI's taxonomy places the organism in Eukaryota, Metazoa, Chordata, Amphibia, Anura, Pelobatidae.